CGUCGUUCCAAUCACAAGAAAUGUACUGAAGUUCACAGACACCGCAAUCAAGCAAGAUAGGAUGAUGAAACCCUGCAUAUAAUUCAUGAUAAAGAGCAUCAUGUUGCAUGUAUUGUCCAUCGAAAUUUGAGAUAUUUGUAACUGCAUGAAAUAUUCAGAACAUACCACAACUGGAGUGGUGUAUUUGUGGGCAAAGACACUGCGGUUUGUAAGGAGUCGAUCCACAAAUGGGCCGGUUGCAAACAAAAUUGCUGCUUGGUAUGGCGCAGAUUGGUACAGAAGCUGCGUUGAGGAGACCUUCAGUUUCUUCUGUAUUGUGUUUGUGAGCUUCAUUCAAAGUUGUCGGGUUAAGGAUACCAUGUGGCUACGUUUUUGGAAUGUCAACGACGAGUAAAGUAUUAAAUGUAGGAUACAAUUUGGCCAACACAAGUGGUGCCGAUGGCGAGGCCAGAAAGGACGGACCCAAGUAGAUUUAGCUCGAGAU
Molecule: long non-coding RNA, 484 nt
Organism: Triticum dicoccoides
Lineage: Eukaryota; Viridiplantae; Streptophyta; Magnoliopsida; Poales; Poaceae
Exons: 3
Source: RefSeq, a predicted model, not a curated record